RNAcentral lists this long non-coding RNA (1130 nucleotides) under Bemisia tabaci. RNAcentral describes it as "lncRNA ENSSSA1NGG000924". Lineage: Eukaryota; Metazoa; Arthropoda; Insecta; Hemiptera; Aleyrodidae. The record is from RNAcentral.
GACAGCUUCAAACCUUCUUGACAAGUCAAUGUUUAUGAUCAUCAAAGUCUUUAAAAAUGAUUGUGUUCAUUUCAGGGUAAAAUGAUCGUGAACAGAAAGGAGAAAAAGAAUCUCUAUUGGAUAUGAUCUUUAAAACCCAGGAAUGCUCCAACCAGAACAACGUGAUUAAAUUCAGUGACAAUAGCAGUGCCAUCAAAGGAUUCACUGUCACAAAGUUCAAGGCCUCUUCUCCAUCAAAACCCAGUAUCCUUUGCACUGAAAAAGGAAACUGCACCUUAUUUUCACCGCUGAAACACACAAUUUUCCCACUGGUGUUGCUCCUUUCUGUGGUGCCACGACAGGAACCGGUGGUCGCAUUCGUGAUGUACAAGCAGUAGGCAGAGGUGGUUAUACAAUAGCGGGAACUGCAGGAUACUCUGUGGGAAAUUUAUUUAUACCUGGUGAGUAACGCGUUUGAUAAUAUAGAGAAUGUAAUGAAAUUUUUGUUAAUGUAGAAUCACUUGGCUGUUUUAUCCCCUUCAGAAAAUAUUGAAAGGAAGCUCAUCUAUACAGCGUAGUGAAAUACGUACGGUUAACCUCAGGUUGCCGUGUAACUGCAGGUAACUGACUACGUUGUGCAAAUCUGACUCUCAAAAACAGGAUUUUACUGUUCUUUCUGAUCAGUCCUAACAUUACUGAGAAAAGACUAUGUCUAAUCCCACCUGUGUCUACCAUGCAUUUUAUUUGAUAGGUCAAAAACAGCAUGUUAAUCCCAUCAAUUUAAACUCAAGGCUCCACCAAGUGACUUUGGAGUCUUUCAACUAGUUAAGCCUUCCUUCAACUAUGAGGAGGAAAGAUGUAGUCACGUCCCUAUUUUCAUACGAGGGAUAUGGUUGAAAAUUUUGUCAUCAAUGGCAUUUCAGCUUAAAAUAAGGAUGUCAACAGCUAGGAUAAUUGUUUUUAAUGGUGAUAUUAAAGUAUACAUGAAAUUGAAUCUUAUCAGUCCUCAUAUCACAAUUAUUGAUUCACUGAAAUUAAUCCUGUUUUUUUUUCCAUAUGAAUAGAUCUGUAUCAUACUUCAUUCUUAACUUGGUUUCUUGUCAUCUCAUGUCUAAGUCAUGCUUCAAUUUGAAUUCGUGAAUUUAUCUGUU